RNAcentral lists this long non-coding RNA (7367 nucleotides) under Mytilus galloprovincialis (Mediterranean mussel). Lineage: Eukaryota; Metazoa; Mollusca; Bivalvia; Mytilida; Mytilidae. The record is from RNAcentral.
CUUUUCUACUUUGUCAACAAAUCCACAUGUAAGAAACCCACGAUGACAACAUUCUCAAAUCCAUCUCAGCUACUUCCACUUGGUAAUUUUUGCGAAGUGUCCGAUAAUAAAUAAUGUAUUUUUUACUGGCUUUCAAUAAGGGCUGCAAUUUUGUUAGCUUGUCAUUUCGAACCAUAAAUGUACAACAGUUUUAAACCAUAUCCAAGACCUGGCAUACAAAUUUUUAAAAAGACCGGUUUAUAAUUUUUCAUCUGAAAGCGGUCGAAGUCUGUACAAGUACUGUUCCUCCUUUUUUUUAAGGGAACACCUUCUUUGACUCAAUUGGUUAGAGGCUGCAUACUUUUAUAGAUACUUUUAACUAUAGAACUCAUCGAAUGAUAGUUAUCAAUCCUCAAUCUUAUGGCACAACUCUUCUCAUUGGUGCAUAUUACACUCUAUCUGGAAUCUGGGUCUGUUUGCGCCCAAUUGCGUUUGCACCCAUCCACGUUCGCCCUUUUCAAUAUUGCACCUGACAUGUUUGCACCCUACAAGUUCAGGGGUUUCAUUAUCUUUGAUGUUGACUGGUACUUUCCACGUUUCUAGGUGGUUCUUUUCAAUUUAUUCCAUGAAUAUCUCAUAUAAAAAUUCCUACAUUUAGCGGUACUUUUCAAUACAUAGGAGGGUAAAAGUACCGGGUACUGCUCUAAUGAAAGGCUGAGUUCGCACCAAAUUCUACCGAGUUUUAGUAAGUGUAUUGCUAUAAAUAUAUAUCAUUAUUUCUAAAUGAUGUGAGAUUCUGAAAAGUUUUUUUUGUAUCAUGGUAAGUUUAUUGCUAUAAAUAUAUAUAUUUUUUGUGUGUUGGAUAAAUCUUAAUGAUGUUUAGGUAUUAGUAAAGGUUUGGUGUAUUUCGAAAAUGUACUCUCUCUCUCUAUAUAUAUAUAUAUAUAUAUUUCUUCUUUGUCUAAAUAAAGGAGAGAUAGACAUUUAUGUGUUUAAAAUCUUUAUCAUGUUUUGGUUAGUGUAUUGCUAUAAAUAUUUCUUUGUCAUUGUUUCAUUAGGAAUUGGGAUACUUACAGAGUUUUAUUAUGUGUUGAAAAUAGUUCGUAAUCAUCGACCAUACAAAUUGGGCGCGAACGUGUGGGGUGCAGGCAGACUUCGGGGGGCGAAGAUGUGAGGUGCGAAAGUAUAUUGGGCGCGAACGGACCUGAUACCCCCUAUGUGUAUCAUCCUCUAUGUAUUUUCCUCCAUGUACUGUAAUUUUGUUUUUGCUGUUACAACUGAGGUGUGGAGUUGGGUAGUCGAAACGUCUGUUUUUGAAAAUAAGGCCGAAAUGAUUUCUAUCUCCGUUUAUAUUCUCUGUGUUUUUUGAUCUGUCUUCCUAGCAGGGUGCCUGUGUUGAUUUUGCGGAUACAAUUCUUUGAAUUUGAUGGUACAUUUCUUCUCUAUAACUCCUGUAGUUUUGGCACUCAGUUAGGUAGUGUUGUUGUGUUUCCUUAGUUCCACAGCAGCAUAAGUCAGUGGUGUUUUGCCCUGUGCGUUGUUUAUACAUGUAGUAGUUAAAGGUUGUAUAGCCAGUUCUUAAUUGUAUAAAGGUGCUGAAGAAUUUUUUGGUUGGAUAGUCAAAGAUUGGGAUGUUUUUAACGUUCGGUGUUAUCUCAAAAAGGUGUCUUCUGUGUGCUUUAAUUCCCAUCGUCUUUGCCACUUCAGCAUGACACUCUUGUGUGCACCUGGUUUUACGUCUUGAACGGUAAGUAUGUUUUUUUUGGCAGGAAUUGUGUUGUUUCUUCUGCUGCUUGCUUUGCCAAUAAGUCCGCUUCAUCGUUCCCUUGAAUAUGUGUGUCCUGGUGUCCAUAGGAUGCAAAUUUCCAUCCCUUUAGUUUUUAGGUCCUCGAUGUGUUCUCUGAUGUCUGGAAUCACAUCAAUAUAGGAUUUGGGUGCCCAAUUUAGUGUGAGGAGUCCUACAGGGGUACUGCACUUUGACUGUCAGAGAAGAUCUUAAGUGUGGUGAUGGUGUUGUGUAGUCUUUCCAGUAUACAAUAUUCCAGUACCAUUACAAUUGAUACAAGCUCUGCUAGUCAAUUCGUAACUACAUUAAUUUGUCACCAAGACGUUUCGUACCUGGUACAUUAAUUUGUAACCAAGACGUUUCGUACCUGGUGUAAUUAUAUAUGGUUAUGUUCUGGACCAUAUGAGUAUUUGGACCAAAUGUGUAAUGUGUAUACUAACCUUCUUAGUAGCUGUGUGCAUUGAAAACAUGAUCUUUGGAUCAUUCUAAUGUGUCUACGGUGUUUAUAGUUGCUCUUAUGAUCGCAAGACUAGACAGGGAACAUUUAAAUAAUGAUGAACAUUUAAAUUCUUUUGUUCUCUUCGUAUGUUUGCAAAACUGUACUUGUGAACAUAACAAUGUCCAAUCAAUUAUUAAAAUAAAUAAAUAUAGAUAUAUAUGAUAAAUACAUGAACAUGACAACAUCAAUAAGUCUUUUUAUCUACAUGUAUCAUAGUCAUGACAUGAGCAUAACUUGCAAUGUAUGAAAAGAUGUUAUAUCAAAAUCUCCAUUUCACCUAUUUCACCUAUUCUUUGCAUCCAAUAUUACAUUGAAGUAAUAAAGUUUUUAAAGAAGAAAUUGGAAUUAUUACGACCAAUAGCUCUGACACUAGUUUUCAACUAUUUAAUUUCUCAUUUCAGAACUGGUAGAUAAAUGUAUAGGAUCUCGAAUCCACAUUGUGAUGAAGAACGAUAAAGAAAUAGUUGGAACUUUACUUGGUUUUGAUGAUUAUGUCAGUAUCCUUUUGACCUAUUUAAAGAACAACUACCUAGGUUAUGGUCUACUGUAUGUCUUACUAAAGUGUCUGAAAAAAAAAGCUGAAUGUCAUCUUAUAAUUACUGACCUAGCUGAUAAGAUAUAUAAUCAUACUUGUUCUGUGGAUCAACUAUUUGGUGGAUUUUGUAGCUACAGUUGAACCACAAAUUUAUCUAAAAAAAUUUGUUUGCGCUUGAAAGCAGAUUUGGCAAAACCAUGGAAUCAAAUAUUUAACAUUUUAAGAAAAUGAAAUUUCACUAAAAAUAUGUUCUGAGAGAUACUUGGUCUGUUCUUAGUCCGUCUGCAAUCACUGGAUAUUUACGGUAUCAGAAGGGUCACGCAAAGGUCUCUUACAUACAGAAAAUAUGUCCAUGAAUUCUUCCUGGUAGCAAGCAAUUACAAGAAAGUAAACUUCUUCUAAUUGUGGACAAAUUAAAGAAUUUACUUCAGAAAAAAAGAAGAUGUACAUUAGUUUAAUAAUGAAACUAUCCAUUUUGUUAUAAAAAAAAAAUAUGCAUCAAUUUUUUUUUAAUUUAAGGUUUCAUAUGACUGUAACAAAUAGACAGGAAAUAUGGGGGGAAAAUUCAAAAACUUCGAUUACAUUUUUAAUCUGCUAUCCCAGUGCCUGUGACCUCAUGCUGCAAAGAAGCCAAGUAUAUAGUUUUCAAUAGGUCCCUGAGUCAUCUAUUUUUCCAAAAUGAUUUCAAUUUUACAUGAAUAUUUUCAAAAGUUGGAAAAUUGUCUGUCAUGUCUGGCAUGUGCAUUUGUUAUAUUACUUUAAUAGUACCACUCUCCCCAAACGUGAAAGAAGAAUAAUCCUUAACAGUAUGAUAGAUAUGGUAUUAGAAGAUGUGACGGAAUUGUGAGUAUUUUUGUGCAAUUAAAGUUAUUAAACCCUGGAAAUAUUUAGUUUAUUAAGGGACGACAUCAAAAGUUCAAUGUAGGAUAAAAAACUAAAUUCACAUAGUUUUUUCACUCACCCCCACCCCCCCCCCCCCCCCUCUAACUUAAUUGGGAAAAUUGAUUUACUAAUAGGGAUAUAUUGAAAAUCAUUAAAGUUUUUUUAUACGACCGCAAAUUUGUAAAAUUUUUCGUCGUAUUUGCUAUCACGUUGCGUCGUCGUCGUCGUCCGAAACUUUUAGUUUCGCACUCUAACUUUGUAAAAGUGAAUGGAAAUCUAUGAAAUUUUAACACAAGUUUAUGACCACAAAGGAGGUUGGUAUUGAUUUUGGAAGUUUUGGUCCAACAUUUAGGAUUAGGGCCGAAAGGCCAAAAAGCAUUUUCUUGUUUUCGCACUAAACUUUAGUUAGUUAAUAGAAAUCUAUGAAAUUUUUGACACAAGGUUUAUGACCACAAAAGAACGGUGGAUUGAUUUUGGGAGUUUUGGUUUCAACAGUUGAGGAAUUAGGGGCCAAAAAGGGCCCAAAUAAGCAUUAUUCUUGGUUUUCGCCAUAACUUAGUUUAAGUAAAUAGAAAUCAAUGAAAUUAAACAAAUGUUAAUGACUACAAAGGAGGUUGGUAUUGAUUUUGGGAGUUUAGGUCCAAACAGUUUCAGGAAUUAGGGGCCAAAAGGGACCAAAUAAGCAUUUUUUCUUGGUUUUCGCCCAUAACGUUAGUAUAAUAAUAGAAAUUAUGAAAUUUAAACACAAGGUUUAUGACCAUAAAAGGAAAGUUGUAUUGAUUUUGGGAGUUUUGUCCCAACAAAUAAGGGCCCAAAGGGUCAAAAUUAAACUUUGUUUGAUUUCAUCAAAUUGAAUAAUGGGUUCUUGAUAUGCCGAAUCUAACUGUCAUGACUGUGUAUGUAGAUUCUUAACUUUUGGUCCCGUUUUCAAAUUGUCUACUAAGGUCCAAAGGUCCAAAUUAACUUAGUUGAUUUUUGACAAAAUGAAUCAGUUAGGUUCUUUGAUAUGCUGAAUCUAAAAUGUACUUAGAUCUGAUUAUUGGCCCAGUUUUCAAGUUGGUCCAAAUCGGGUCCAAAAUUUAACUUUGUUUGAUUUCAUCAAAAAUUGAAUAAAUGGGGUUCUUUGGAUAUACCAAAUUAACUGUGUAUGUAGAUUCUUCAUUUUUGUCCUGUUUUCAAAUUGGUCUACACAAAGUCCAAAGGGUCCAAAAUAACUUAGUCUGAUUUUACAAAAUUGAAAUCUUGGGGUUCUUUGAUAGCUGAAUCCAAAAAUGUACUUAGAUUUUUUAUUAUGGGCCAGUUUCAGUUGGUCAAUCAGAUCUAAAUUAUUAUAUUAAGUAUUGUGCAAUAGCAGUCUUUUCAAUUGCACAGUAUUGCGCAAUGGCAAGAAAUAUCUAAUUGCACAAUAUUGUGAAAUAGCAAAUUUUUUUUUAAUUAGAGUUAUCUUUCUUUGUCCAGAAUAGUAAGCAAGAAAUAUCUAAUUGCAAAAUAUUGUGCAAUAGCAAGAUUUUUUUUUAAUUGGAGUUAUCUUUCUUUGUCCAGAAUCAACUUAAAUCUUUGUUAUAUACAAUAUACAAUGUAUAUUCACUUUUUACUACCAACUGAUAAAUUAAAAUAAUCUUUACCAUUCAGUGAUAACAAGCAGUUUUUUUACAUCUUAUUUCCUAUCUUAUCUAAAAUGUUUUUAGAUAAUGUAUGUUGGCAUUUGCAGACAUGCUAUGAUGUCAUUUUCUAUUUUUAUUUGCCAAUAAUUUAUGUAAAUCUUCAUGGAAAUCUGCCAAUAUAAAAUGUUGCUGAUGAAGUUUUUUAUUGUUUUUACAAUAACAAUGUAUAUUCACUUUUACUACCAACCAACUCUUUACCAUUCAGUGAUACAACCUUUAUUUUACAUUUUAAUAUUUAUAAUGUAAUUAAAAGAGAGUUAUUGUUGCAAAUCCAUUAGAAAUUUGAUUGAUAUCAGUUUUGGAAAAAGGGAACGGGAUGUAAAAAAAGGGGGGGUUAAAUUUUUCUAUUUCAGAUUCAUAAAUAAAGAAAAUUUUUUUGAGAGAUUAAUAUUAACAGCAUAGUGAAUUGCUAAAAGGAAAAACAAACUUUAAGUUCAUUAGCACUUCAUUCUUUCAGAACCUAUCUGUGUCAACUAUUUAUUUUGAUUUAAAGUUGAAGAGAAAUCUUUAAUUGUAAAAUUUGUAAAAUCUUGACUUUGCAUUGUGUAAAAAAAAACCAUGUAAUGUCAAAAAUUUGAUCACAAUCCAAAUUCAGAGCUUAUCACGCUAGAUGUUUGUCAUACUUGCCCACUGUUCAGGGUUCGACUCUGCGGUCGUAUAAAGCUGCGCCCUGCGGACACCUGGUUUACCUACAUUGAUCUUUUGAUGUCAUCCUUAAGUAUGCAAUACUGAAUAGACCUUCUACAGACUUUUGACACAGGGUUCUAUAUUUAUUUGAAAGUAAUGGUUAUUUUUUCUGGUAAGACAUCCUGGUACUUGGUUAUGCCCAAGAGCAACAAAACAAGAAUAAUCAAACAUAUGAUCAAUGCAAUUCAGUGGGAAAGGUAACUGUUUUCCAAGUAUUUUGUUGUGUACAAAAACAUAGCACAAUUUACUUUUUCUAAAAAUGCUACAUUUUACUGCUUAGUUCCUCUCACUUGAGCCAGUACCAGGAUGUCCUACCUCUGAGUAGGUGACCAGUCAAAAAAAUAUAAACUAUGGAGUCAAAAAUUAGUGAUAUGAAAAUAGUAUGCUUUCUACAUUAUGUGUACACAAGUUAUUUAUAUCAGCCCAUUAAUGUUGGUAGUGAAUUGUAACAACAUUACAUAUGAUCACCUUACAAAUAACAUGUACACUCAAAAAAAUGUACUAAAAAAUCAAGCAAAUCAAAAAAAAUCUAAUCAAACAACCAUUAUUUUUAUUUUCAAAUUAAUUCAGGGCCAACAAACAUUAUGUAAAACUUUUAUCACAGAUAGAAAAAAAAUUGCACGACACAACAAAACAUAAGUGCUGCAGAGAAUCAAAAUAAUAGAUAUAUACACUGAAACUUUUUGAGUUGUGUUUCCUUAUUUAAAUUUGUAUACUGUUACAAUGAAAGUUUUUCAGUGAAACUCAUGUUGCCCUGAGGUUCUUGGCCAGCAGACAUAACAAUAAGAUCAACCUUUUUUGUGUUAAUAAUUUAACACAUUGAUAGGUCAUGAAUUUUCUGUUUAGGCCAAAAAGUUAUAAAUUUUACAAUUGGUCUAAAGAAAACAAAAAAAUAAUAUACCACUUAGUUGUCUUUAGGCAAUGUUUUUUUCAGUGCCAAAAUAUUAUUCUAUAGAACCUUAAAAGUUUAUUUAUAUAGUACACUUUUUUACAUUGAUUUGUUGACAAAUAAAUAAUUUGUAGAUAUUAUCUUGACACACACUUUGUUUCUUGACAUUUUACAAAUAUGUGCAAUUAAUCACCACACUAGUAUUUAACUUUUGACUGUAACCAAAAUAUAUGACAAUUUUUCAAAAAAUAUUUCAGUGAAAGCACAUCAGAGGGGCGACGGGUAACCAAGCUAGAUCAAAUUCUUCUGAAUGGAAACAAUAUUACUAUGGUUAGUAUUAUUAUCUGUGCCUAUCUUAAAUUCUCAAUGAUAAUGAGUGAAAUUUAUCCUGUUUAUUGAAAUUUUUAAUUUAAUGAAAAUUUCAGGUGAUUUGUCAAUAUGUUUUU